AAGACGGGUAGCUGGUCUGAGAGGAUGAUCAGCCACACUGGUACUGGAACACGGACCAGACUCCUACGGGAGGCAGCAGUGGGGAAUCUUGGUCAAUGGGCGCAAGCCUGAACCAGCGACGCCGCGUGAGUGAUGAAGGCCUUCGGGUUGUAAAGCUCUGUGGGGAGGGACGAAAGAGCUCAGUCGAAUAGGCUGAGCAGUUGACGGUACCUCCUUAGCAAGCACCGGCUAACUCUGUGCCAGCAGCCGCGGUAAGACAGAGGGUGCAAACGUUGCUCGGAAUUACUGGGCGUAAAGCGCGUGUAGGCGGGCUUGCAAGUCAGAUGUGAAAUCCCCGGGCUCAACCCGGGAACUGCAUUUGAAACUGCAAGCCUUGAGUAUCGGAGAGGAAAGCGGAAUUCCUGGUGUAGAGGUGAAAUUCGUAGAUAUCAGGAGGAACACCGGUGGCGAAGGCGGCUUUCUGGACGAUAACUGACGCUGAGACGCGAAAGCGUGGGGAGCAAACAGGAUUAGAUACCCUGGUAGUCCACGCUGUAAACGAUGAACACUAGGUGUCGUGGGUAUUGACCCCCGCGGUGCCGUAGCUAACGCAUUAAGUGUUCCGCCUGGGAAGUACGGUCGCAAGACUA
This 629-nucleotide ribosomal RNA is filed under the name uncultured Pseudomonadota bacterium. Its description in RNAcentral is "bacterial SSU rRNA". It matches the Rfam family "Bacterial small subunit ribosomal RNA", at positions 276 to 896 of the family's 1533-position model. The record is from RNAcentral. Lineage: Bacteria; Pseudomonadati; Pseudomonadota.